RNAcentral lists this small RNA (175 nucleotides) under Nothoprocta perdicaria. RNAcentral describes it as "TUC338 (ENSNPEG00000004527.1)". The record is from RNAcentral. Lineage: Eukaryota; Metazoa; Chordata; Aves; Tinamiformes; Tinamidae.
AUGACAGCCUUGGAAAUUGAAGUCUUCUAUCAAACUACAGAACUUACACAGUAUGGAUGAAAUUGUGCCAACUUCUGCCAUGCUAUCCUCUUAAAGUGUCUCAAAUCUAACCUGGAAAAAUUAUUUCUGGUGGUAACAGCACUUCAGCCUCAAUAUCUGGUCGUUUCUUACUACU